GUUAAGGCAACUUUCAUUCUCAUGAAUCCUCAACCAUGGUAUUAGAGAAAGUUUGCCCUGAUGUAUAGACAAAGAAUUAAUGUUUUAACCUUGUUAACUUUACAAAAGGGACUUCUUUCCAACAGUAGGUAAAGUAAGAUUAUAUCUUACCCUUAAGUCAGUCGAAAAACAGCCUUUGCAUUUGAUACUGGAUUAUACUGAACAAUGGAGGAUGGUCGCUGGCUUCCCCAUCAACUUAUAGUCUUGUUCUCCCAUGCUUGUGAGGAUGCAGAGCAAUGUUAAGCACCCCAUGGUUUCUGCAAAGAAAGAAUAUGCUGCUCCUCCUCCUCGCCCUCUCCCUCCUGCUGCCAAGGAAGUAGCUCCAGUGGCUAAGCCCCCUCCAAUUGGACCCAAGCAUGGAGCCAAGAGACGUACCAGAGACGCCAUAAAUUGAAGCGGGGAAGCUGUUUAGGCUUUUAAAGGCUCUUUCUAGAGCUUUCCAGGGCCUAUUUCUUCAUUUUCUUCAUGAAAGGGCUUUUUCAUUUUUGCGAAAACAGCUUGGUUUACGUAUUUUUCAUUUUAAACAAAUUCAUGAGACCAGUAGUUACAUGCAGAGAGCAAUUUUUUAAGGUUAGCAAUCAUAAAUAUGUAGGUUAAAAAGAUAUUAUUUUUCCUAAAUUCAUAUUAGUAAUUUAGUUCGCUUCUGGUUUUGAUUGUGUGUUAAUGGACUGUUGCAGUAGAGGUAAAUAUAGAUUGAUGUGCUGCUUCUCUCCCCUCUUCCUUGUCCUUCUUAUAUUUACCUUUACAGAUCUGCAACAGUCCAUUUUCCUUCUCCUUGAGCUUUAUAUCAUCGUGAUGAUGGAUCACAGACUCUGAUCCCAAACUUAUGCAAACAAACACACACAAUCAAAACCACAAGCCAAUUAAAUUACUAAUAUGUAUGUUUCUUAUAUGCAACUUUUAAAUAUUCUAUUUCUCGUUUUUGGUAAUAUAGUUUUAAAAUUUGGAA
Molecule: long non-coding RNA, 988 nt
Organism: Cryptomeria japonica (Japanese cedar)
Lineage: Eukaryota; Viridiplantae; Streptophyta; Pinopsida; Cupressales; Cupressaceae
Exons: 2
Source: RefSeq, a predicted model, not a curated record